Molecule: transfer RNA, 72 nt
Filed under: Alosa alosa (allis shad)
Lineage: Eukaryota; Metazoa; Chordata; Actinopteri; Clupeiformes; Clupeidae
Description: tRNA-Pro
Rfam family: tRNA
About the family: Transfer RNA (tRNA) molecules are approximately 80 nucleotides in length. Their secondary structure includes four short double-helical elements and three loops (D, anti-codon, and T loops).
Source: RNAcentral
GUUUGAGUAGUCUAGUAGUAUGAUGUCUGCUUUGGGAGCAGAUGGUCCAGGGUGCGAUUCCUUGCUCAGACC